AGAGUUUGAUCAUGGCUCAGAACGAACGCUGGCGGCGUGCCUAACACAUGCAAGUCGAGCGCGAAUGGAGCAAUCCUAGUAGAGCGGCGCACGGGUGCGUAACACGUGGGUAAUCUGCCUGGAAGAUGAGGAUAACCAGUCGAAAGAUUGGCUAAUACUCGAUAAGCCCACGGGGACUUCGGUCCCUGAGGGAAAAGGUGGCCUCUGUAUACAAGCUAUCACUUCCAGAUGAGCCCGCGGCCCAUCAGCUAGUUGGCGGGGUAAUGGCCCACCAAGGCAACGACGGGUAGCUGGUCUGAGAGGACGAUCAGCCACACUGGAACUGAGACACGGUCCAGACUCCUACGGGAGGCAGCAGUGGGGAAUUUUGCGCAAUGGGCGAAAGCCUGACGCAGCAACGCCGCGUGUGUGAUGAAGGUCUUCGGAUUGUAAAGCACUUUCGACCGGGACGAAAACCCCUUGGCUAACAUCCAGGGGCUUGACGGUACCGGGAGAAGAAGCACCGGCUAACUCUGUGCCAGCAGCCGCGGUA
This 532-nucleotide ribosomal RNA is filed under the name uncultured Pseudomonadota bacterium. RNAcentral describes it as "bacterial SSU rRNA". It matches the Rfam family "Bacterial small subunit ribosomal RNA", at positions 8 to 522 of the family's 1533-position model. The record is from RNAcentral. Lineage: Bacteria; Pseudomonadati; Pseudomonadota.